CAGCUGUAAAAUAAACGAAACAAUUUUUUUUAAAUAACUACUAUCAAAAGCUUAUCCUUUCAGGGACUUUAUUUACUUUUAAUAGAUAGGUUUUAGAAAUGCGUUUUCGUAUCUGAGCGAUCGGUUGAUCUUAUUGAUCGGUUAAUCUGAAGUAAAGCUUAUUCGUUUAUACUUAAUAUGUAGAUAAGAUCUAAUCUGUGAUUUGAAAUUAAUCUAUAUAAAGUUAUAAAGAUAACACCUCCUUAUAUACAAUGUAUCGGACAUCUAUAAAUAUUUGAACUGCUCGAUGUACAGAUAUAUAAUAACUUAACUAUUCUAGUUAUGUGAAGAAAGCUUCCCGUUCUAAUUGUAUACCAUAAAUGGCAAUUAUAGAUCCCAUAGAUAAAUAGUCGAGAAAGCGGUCGAAAGUCGGUCGGAUUGUAUAUCGUCUUGGGUCAUUGCCAUGGGUGGAGAAAGCUUAUACGUAGCCGGUUUUUUUUCAUUAUUCUUCGUUAAUAGGUACAUCCGAGUUUUGUCUGUGACUGCGUGUCGCGAGAAAUCAUCGCGACGACCAACGUUGCCGUGAAGCAGGAGUUCAUUGCGUUUGCCCACCACCGUUAUCAAAGUUAUUAACCUAACUGCAACUGAAAGAGUGUGUUGGAAUGUCUUCGGACAAUGAAAAAAUAAAAGGAAUAGCGAGUGAGUAAACUAAACUAUGUAAACCAAACCAAACUAAACUAAACUAAAUUAGUCUGUCUGUGAUUCGCGUAAUCGGUCUUCUUGGUAUAACCUUUCUAAAGGGGACAUACAUUCAACAUUAUGCGUAAAUUUUGGCACGAAUGAUAUUUAAUGACAAAAGAAUGAUUGAUAAUCUCAAUUCACAUUCACAACGCAAAGUGGUUUACGAAAGUAUUUAAAUACUAGUAGGCAUUUUUUAUAGAUAUAUUAUGUGUAGAUAUUAUUCAAAACAUUUUGAAGUUUCAUUAGCAAUGGAGAAUCCUGACCAUCAUAAUUAUAUUUGUGAAAAUGUUUUGCAUAGCACAUACACGCAAUAUAGACAUGGAAGUAUUUUAUGAUAAGAGUUCUAAUACUUUCAUAAGCCACCGUGUAUAUAUCUCCGCUCAUAAAAAUUUAUCAGGCAAUAAAUAAAAUCUUUCGAAUGUAAUAUAAGAAUUGAUGAUUAAUCUUGUUCUUUUCGAUAAAAAGUUAAAGUUAGAUGGAGAAAUAAAAUCGGCGACAUCCGGCAUACGAUAUAUUAUUCGAUUUCUUACGGUUUUCGUGACCGUGACUUUUUGAACGUUGCCGCUUGACUUUUUGCUCAAUCGAUAGGUGGAUGUGGUAUCCAUGCGUUACGAGAACACGUGGGUGGUGAUUGCAUCAAGGACGUACCGGCAGUAGGUUUGCACCGACGUUGAUAGGUUCAAGAAAAGAAGAUGAAAGGUUGCCAAAACGCCGAUUGAUGAAGGCUGGUAUUAUAAGCAAUUAAUUUGAUAAUAGGCUCGAACUUUUUUCUAUAUACAUAUAGAACAGGACUUGUAAGUCCAUUAUCUAAGUUAGUAGCAUUAUUAUAAUAACAUU
Bombus impatiens (common eastern bumble bee) is the source of this 1557-nucleotide long non-coding RNA. RefSeq lists it as uncharacterized. Lineage: Eukaryota; Metazoa; Arthropoda; Insecta; Hymenoptera; Apidae. The record is from RefSeq and is a predicted model, not a curated record. The transcript has 2 exons.